This is a long non-coding RNA of Felis catus (domestic cat), 1379 nucleotides long. RefSeq lists it as uncharacterized. Lineage: Eukaryota; Metazoa; Chordata; Mammalia; Carnivora; Felidae. The transcript has 3 exons. The record is from RefSeq and is a predicted model, not a curated record.
GCCUGGGUGCUAAGUAACUGGGCAGAGGAUUAUGGGUAGCUGCACAAUGAUGCUGAAUAGGGAAAGCCUAUUUUGAGAUAGCCUGCUUUGGGCAAGAAUCAUGGCUCUGAAAAAUGCUUGGUGUUUGACCCUGGACAGUUUAAAUAACCAAGUCUCAGCCUCACCUUUAAAAUAGGAAUAAUAAUUACCUCGAAGGGAUGUUUCCAGAGUAGGGGAGUUCACAUUUAUAAACCUUUGGCACUUAGAGGCACUUAAUACAUACUAACUGACACGCUGUGAAUACGAACAUGUUCGUUAUAAUAAUAAUAAUUUAUAUGAUAUCCAAGUUAGGAGAGAAGUUUGGCGUGUCAAGUCCGGUGCUGUUCCGUCUUUGGUGACGCAUUUUAUAUCACAGCCCAGCCCACGUAAUACGAUCGACAUAGAAACAACCGAAACAGUGCUAUCCUGAUGCGAUGAUACCCUGUGAUAUUUGCUAUUCCGCAUUUUAUGAAACACUGAUGUCACAGCCUGUAUGACCUUGCCAGCACUGCCGUCACAAAACGCCACAGGCUGGGGGACUUAAGCAGCACAAAAUUACGUUCUCACCACCCUGGACGUUGGAAGUCCAACACCAAGUGCCAGGCAGGGCUGGUUUCUUCCGUGGCCGCUCUCCUUGGCUUGCGUCUCGCCCGGCUUCACGUGGUUCUUUCUUGUGUGUGUACACCCUGGCGUCUAUUCGUCCAACUGUCCUCUUCAGGGACACCAGUCAGAUUGGAUGAGGGCCACCCUAGCCGCCUCCGUUAACCUAUGCACCUGUUUAAAAGCCCUGUCUCCAAAGACAGUCACGUCUUGAAGCACUGGAGUUCUUCCAGGAAAACCCCCUCUCGUGGCCCUGAGUAUCGUGGCAUUCUGUAUCCGCCCCAGGCACGGUUCUGCAGACUUAAGAGCUAGACGUCCCCCUACUUAAGAAACGUGUUCCUCAACUGACUUUCAGCGGCCAGCACCCAUUUGCCAGUGCAGUGCCUCUGUGUCCACGUGGUUUUUGCAAAUCUUCGCACAACUCGACAUGCUUAUCACUGCUCAGCAAAUAUCCAUCCCCCACAGCCAUGGGAGCACCGUACUUCCCACUAAUGUUGGGCUGGUUCCUGUCACCUGCUUUGGCUAGUGGAAUAUGGGCGGAAGUAACAAUGUACCAUUUCCCAGGUGAGGCCUUAAGAAGCAUCACGUGGUUGUGCUUCUUUGGGAGCCCUGGCCCCCACUCUGACAAGGACGUGCUCCAGACAGCCGCUGCCCCCCCUCCGGCCUGGGCCCCCAGAAUGAGACGGAGGGGAGCAGAGCCCUCCCACUGCCUCUGCCUCCUGACCUGUGAUGGAUGAAUAAAUGCUUAGGAUUGAAAGCUA